GGGAGCUUAGCUCAGUUGGUAGAGCACCUGCCUUACAAGCAGGGGGUCAAUGGUUCGAGCCCGUUAGCUCCCACCA
Molecule: transfer RNA, 76 nt
Filed under: Bacillota bacterium
Lineage: Bacteria; Bacillati; Bacillota
Description: Firmicutes bacterium (anaerobic digester metagenome) tRNA-Val
Rfam family: tRNA
About the family: Transfer RNA (tRNA) molecules are approximately 80 nucleotides in length. Their secondary structure includes four short double-helical elements and three loops (D, anti-codon, and T loops). Further hydrogen bonds mediate the characteristic L-shaped molecular structure. tRNAs have two regions of fundamental functional importance: the anti-codon, which is responsible for specific mRNA codon recognition, and the 3' end, to which the tRNAs corresponding amino acid is attached (by aminoacyl-tRNA synthetases). tRNAs cope with the degeneracy of the genetic code in two manners: having more than one tRNA (with a specific anti-codon) for a particular amino acid; and 'wobble' base-pairing, i.e. permitting non-standard base-pairing at the 3rd anti-codon position.
Source: RNAcentral